AGCCUCCCAAGUGUCCAGUCAGUGGAGUGACCGGACUAAUCCACCAGACAAACAACUCGGAAGAUUAACCUUUUUUUUUUUUUUUCCAGCCUCGCGAAACUAGUUUUUCUUUUUGUCACGGCACCCGGAAGCCUGUUUUGUAAAAAUCCUGAUCAUUUUGUCACAUGGCUUUGGAGAAUUCAAUAACAACAAAAAAUGGCGACAAUCACGUUGCUCUGUGUGGUCUUGCUGCGUCAUUAAAAAUAUUCAUGUAAACACGGGGAAUUGAACGGGAAAAUUGUAGUGGCCUGUGCAGCGGGGCUAAUGGAGUUGUUUACAAGAAGUGCGGAGGGCGGACUGACGACGAGGAGGAGGAGGAGGAGGAGGAGGAGCCGCUACGUCGGCCAGCAACGCGACCUGACUGCUGGAGAGGGUUUCUCGCGCCGAGGGGGGCGGAGCGCGCGAGGAGGAUCAUAACAAGUCUGACGUCACUCGGCCUUGUGUCUGGUUUACAGCAUUUAAGUCCUAUGUCAGAUGGAUUUCCAUGCAACGCCCGUAUAACUGGGUGAUGAGAAAGAGUCUACAACGUGCAGACGGGUGACCAAAAGAAGGAAAAUCAAUAUGAACUGUCUUGGUAAGGGGUUGGGCCACCACAGGCCGCCAGAACAGCUUCAUUGCACCUUGGGAUUGAUUCCCCAAGUCUCUGGAACUCGGCUUGAGGGAUGAACACCAUUCCUCCAAAAGAUAUUCCCUUAUUUGGCGUUUUGAUGGUAGUGGUGGAGAGCGCUGUCUAACACAUCGGUCCAGAAUCUCCCGUAAGGUGUUCAACCGGGUUGAGCUAUGGUGACUGUGAAGGCCACAGCCUAUGAUUCACAUCCUAUUCAUGCUCAUCAAACCCUGCAGUGAUCCCUCGUGCCCUACGGACGGGGGCGUCGUCAUAGGGUAAAGGUGAUCACUCAGAACUACUUUGUAUUGAUUUCCAGGGACCCUUCCCUCUAAGGGGGCCAAGCGGACCCAAACCACGCCAGCAAAAUGCCCCCCCACAGCAUAACAGAGCCUCUGAUGUCCUUCCCAUAGAUGUGAAUGAAGAUGUCACUUUGGUCACUGCUCCUAUUUAAAAACGAGCCAGAUGAGCAGACUUUGCGACUGAAGCUCCUGCCGCCCGCCCCCAGACAAUGAACCCUCUUUCAAAGUCACUUAGAUCUUUUCAUCUUGCCACCUUGAUGCCAAAUCGGAAUCAACUGGGCCUGCUCAGCAUUUUUAUACAGGCCACGGAGCGUGAUCGGAUGCUAUAAUGCAGUGCACCUGCGUGGAAGCUUCUGCAUUCGUUAUGUUGCUCCACUCGUUUAUUCAGGUUUUUCCUUAGCUGUGUAAUGUUAAUGCCUGUUCAGAGCAAUGGCCUGAUUUAAGUGCAUGUGGGGCCUUAUUGUUAAAACCUCCGAUACUCACUGCUGAGCCACUUUCACCAAAUCUAGACUUUUUUGACAGUAACAAUAGGAUGUAGUAUAAAGGGAUGCUAGAUAAUGAGGAUUCUUUGAGCCCAUGGCAGCUUAAGGAUUGAUUUAUUGAUCAACACGUUUCCCUAGUUUGUUGUGUAGUUCUCACAUUCGUUAUUCCUGGUAAAACUAUGACAUAUAUUUUAUGUUUUGUACCCUAUUAUGUACCCUUUAUUUUCUAAUGGUCUUAUUAAAUUUCCCCAAAAUGUUAUACAAUUUAAAAUGUAAAGAUCCCUUGGUUAGAGGGCAUAAGACUUGUUGGUUACCAUUGGUUUGAAGGAUUUUUAAAAAAAAAACUAAUGUAUUCAAAUGAAGGAUUGAUAGAUUAUAUGACUAUAUUGCUGGGUCGAUUGAUCUGUUAUACUUUGGGCUAAUGUGUGUUAUUUGAAAAUUAUUUAUGUAAAAACAAAUUAAAUGCUGAAGAUACAACUUGCACAUGUUUUGUGCGCGAUACCACCAAAUGAGUUGCGUAAAUGCAAGAGGAAAACGUCUCUGUAUUUGCACCUGUUGACCUCGAGCAUGGAUAUUGGAUAGUGGAU
This is an RNA transcript of Xiphias gladius (swordfish), 2014 nucleotides long. RefSeq lists it as uncharacterized. NCBI's taxonomy places the organism in Eukaryota, Metazoa, Chordata, Actinopteri, Istiophoriformes, Xiphiidae. The transcript has 3 exons. The record is from RefSeq and is a predicted model, not a curated record.